GUAGGGAAUAUUGGACAAUGGGGGGAACCCUGAUCCAGCCAUGCCGCGUGGAGGAAGACUGCCCUCUGGGUUGUAAACUCCUUUUAUAUGGGAAGAACCGUCCUCAUUAAUGAGUGACCUGACGGUACCAUAGGAAUAAGCACCGGCUAACUCCGUGCCAGCAGCCGCGGUAAUACGGAGGGUGCAAGCGUUAUCCGGAUUCACUGGGUUUAAAGGGUGCGUAGGCGGAUAAAUAAGUCAGUGGUGAAAUCAACGGGCUCAACCUGUUAACUGCCAUUGAUAAUGUGUAUCUUGAAUAUGAGAGAGGUAGGCGGAAUGUUGCAUGUAGCGGUGAAAUGCUUAGAUAUGCUACGGAACACCGAUUGCGAAGGCAGCUUACUAUUUCGUAAUUGACGCUGAGGCACGAAAGCGUGGGUAGCGAACAGGAUUAGAAACCCGUGUAGUCC
Molecule: ribosomal RNA, 446 nt
Filed under: uncultured bacterium
Lineage: Bacteria
Description: partial 16S ribosomal RNA
Rfam family: Bacterial small subunit ribosomal RNA
Source: RNAcentral